AUUGAACGCUGGCGGAAUGCUUUACACAUGCAAGUCGAACGGCAGCACGGGGGCAACCCUGGUGGCGAGUGGCGAACGGGUGAGUAAUACAUCGGAACGUGCCCAGUCGUGGGGGAUAACGCAGCGAAAGCUGUGCUAAUACCGCAUACGAUCUACGGAUGAAAGCGGGGGACCGUAAGGCCUCGCGCGAUUGGAGCGGCCGAUGGCAGAUUAGGUAGUUGGUGGGGUAAAGGCUCACCAAGCCGACGAUCUGUAGCUGGUCUGAGAGGACGACCAGCCACACUGGGACUGAGACACGGCCCAGACUCCUACGGGAGGCAGCAGUGGGGAAUUUUGGACAAUGGGCGCAAGCCUGAUCCAGCCAUUCCGCGUGCAGGAUGAAGGCCCUCGGGUUGUAAACUGCUUUUGUACGGAACGAAAAGGCUUUCUCUAAUACAGAGGGCUCAUGACGGUACCGUAAGAAUAAAGCACCGGCUAACUACGUGCCAGCCGCCGCUGU
RNAcentral lists this ribosomal RNA (499 nucleotides) under uncultured bacterium. Its description in RNAcentral is "bacterial SSU rRNA". It matches the Rfam family "Bacterial small subunit ribosomal RNA", at positions 30 to 521 of the family's 1533-position model. The record is from RNAcentral.